UAUGGUUGCCAAAGCUGAAACUUAAAGGAAUUGACGGAAGGGCACCACCAGGAGUGGAGCCUGCGGCUUAAUUUGACUCAACACGGGAAACCUCACCCGGCCCGAACACUGUUAUGACAGACAGGUUGAGAGCUCUUUCUCGAUUCAGUGGUUGGUGGUGCAUGGCCGUUCUUAGUUCGUGGAGCGAUCUGUCUGGUUAAUUCCGAUAACGAACGAGACUCUCGCCUGCUAAAUAGACGGCGCCGACGUACGCGCGGCGACCGCGCAGCUUCUUAGAGGGACAAGCGGCGUUUAGCCGCGUGAAGCCGAGAGCAAUAACAGGUCAGUGAUGCCCUCAGAUGUUCGGGGCCGCACGCGCGCUACACUGUUUGCAUCAGCGUGUCUCUCCCUCGCCGGCGGGCGCGGGCAACCCGUUGAAACGCAAACGUGCUAGGGAUCGGAGAUUGCAAUUGUUCUCCGUCAACGAGGAAUUCCUUGUACUUGCGAGUCAUCAGCUCGCGGGGAAUCUGUCCCUGCCCUUUGUACACACCGCCCGUCGCUACUACCGAUUGAGUGGUUUAGUGAGGCUCGCGGACGGCGCGCGGCAACCGUCGGGUUCGCCCGUCGCGUCGCGCGCCGGAAGCGAGACGAACUUGAUCACUUCUAGGAAGUAAAAGUCGUAACAAGGUUUUCGUAGGUGAACCUGCGGNAAGGAUCA
RNAcentral lists this ribosomal RNA (697 nucleotides) under Amathia gracilis. RNAcentral's name for it is "bacterial SSU rRNA". It matches the Rfam family "Eukaryotic small subunit ribosomal RNA", at positions 1124 to 1828 of the family's 1831-position model. Lineage: Eukaryota; Metazoa; Bryozoa; Gymnolaemata; Ctenostomatida; Vesiculariidae. The record is from RNAcentral.